Molecule: unclassified non-coding RNA, 340 nt
Filed under: uncultured Entrophosporaceae
Lineage: Eukaryota; Fungi; Glomeromycota; Glomeromycetes; Entrophosporales; Entrophosporaceae
Description: uncultured Claroideoglomeraceae sequence contains 18S rRNA gene
Source: RNAcentral
CCCAACUAUCCCUAUUAAUCAUUACGGUGAUCCUAGAAACCAACAAAAUAGAAUCAUGCCGUCCUAUUUUAUUAUUCCAUGCUAAUGUAUUCGAGCAAUAAGCUUGCUUUAAACACUCUAAUUUUUUCAAGGUAAAAGUUCUGGUUCCAUAUGACACCCAAUUAAGGACAUCAUAUUUCUCCAGAAGGUGAGAAAUUGACUGUAACAGUUCAUACCCCUUAAGGCACGACCGUCACGUCAAUCCCGAAAUUCAACUACGAGCUUUUUAACUGCAACAACUUUAAUAUACGCUAUUGGAGCUGGAAUUACCGCGGCUGCUGGCACCAGACUUGCCCUCCAA